Molecule: small nucleolar RNA, 74 nt
Organism: Thalassophryne amazonica
Lineage: Eukaryota; Metazoa; Chordata; Actinopteri; Batrachoidiformes; Batrachoididae
Source: RefSeq, a predicted model, not a curated record
AUUUGAGGUGAUGAGGAGUUUUUACCGCCCCAGUCUGAUGAUUGAUGACUGAUUGGUAUCCCCUCUGAUCAUAC